Molecule: ribosomal RNA, 457 nt
Filed under: uncultured bacterium
Lineage: Bacteria
Description: SSU rRNA
Rfam family: Bacterial small subunit ribosomal RNA
Source: RNAcentral
AGAGCGAACGCUGGCGGCAUGCUUAACACAUGCAAGUCGCACGGUCAGGUUUCGGCCUGGUAGUGGCGGACGGGUGAGUAACGCGUAGGUAUCUAUCCGAAGGUGGGGGGAUAACGGCGGGAAACUGCUGCUAAUACCGCAUAUGACCUGAGGGUCAAAGGUCGCAAGACCGCCUGUGGAGGAGCCUGCGUACGAUUAGCUUGUUGGUGGGGUAAAGGCCUACCAAGGCGACGAUCGUUAGCUGGUCUGAGAGGAUGAUCAGCCACAUUGGGACUGAGACACGGCCCAAACUCCUACGGGGGGCAGCAGUGAGGAAUUUUCGUCAAUGGGGGCAACCCUGAACGAGCAACGCCGCGUGCAGGAAGAAGGUUUUUCGGAUCGUAAACUGCUUUUCUCGGGGAAGAGAACGGACGGUACCCGAGGAAUCAGCCCCGGCUAACUACGUGCCAGCAGCCGC